This 85-nucleotide transfer RNA is filed under the name Chloroflexi bacterium GWC2_73_18. Its description in RNAcentral is "tRNA-Tyr". It matches the Rfam family "tRNA". From Rfam's summary of the family: Transfer RNA (tRNA) molecules are approximately 80 nucleotides in length. Their secondary structure includes four short double-helical elements and three loops (D, anti-codon, and T loops). Further hydrogen bonds mediate the characteristic L-shaped molecular structure. tRNAs have two regions of fundamental functional importance: the anti-codon, which is responsible for specific mRNA codon recognition, and the 3' end, to which the tRNAs corresponding amino acid is attached (by aminoacyl-tRNA synthetases). tRNAs cope with the degeneracy of the genetic code in two manners: having more than one tRNA (with a specific anti-codon) for a particular amino acid; and 'wobble' base-pairing, i.e. permitting non-standard base-pairing at the 3rd anti-codon position. Lineage: Bacteria; Bacillati; Chloroflexota. The record is from RNAcentral. RNAcentral also lists the same sequence under 3 other names.
GGGCAGGUUGGGCAGGUGGUGAGCCCAGCUGACUGUAAAUCAGCCGCCAACGGCUGUAGAGGUUCGAUUCCUCUCCUGCCCACCA